AGAGUUGAGUCCUGGCUCAGGACGAACGCUGGCGGCGUGCUUAACACAUGCAAGUCGAACGCUGAAGCUUGGUGCUUGCACUGGGUGGAUGAGUGGCGAACGGGUGAGUAAUACGUGAGUAACCUGCCCUUGACUCUGGGAUAAGCCUGGGGAAACUGGGUCUAAUACUGGAUAUGACCUCCUGUCGCAUGGUGAGGGGUGGAAAGGGUUUGUACUGGUUGUGGAUGGGCUCACGGCCUAUCAGCUUGUUGGUGGGGUAAUGGCCUACCAAGGCGACGACGGGUAGCCGGCCUGAGAGGGUGACCGGCCACACUGGGACUGAGACACGGCCCAGACUCCUACGGGAGGCAGCAGUGGGGAAUAUUGCACAAUGGGCGCAAGCCUGAUGCAGCGACGCCGCGUGAGGGAUGACGGCCUUCGGGUUGUAAACCUCUUUCAGCACGGAAAAAGCGAAAGUGACGGUACGUGCAGAAGAAGCGCCGGCUAACUACGUG
This 494-nucleotide ribosomal RNA is filed under the name uncultured Kocuria sp. RNAcentral's name for it is "bacterial SSU rRNA". It matches the Rfam family "Bacterial small subunit ribosomal RNA", at positions 8 to 507 of the family's 1533-position model. Lineage: Bacteria; Bacillati; Actinomycetota; Actinomycetes; Micrococcales; Micrococcaceae. The record is from RNAcentral.